This 420-nucleotide ribosomal RNA is filed under the name uncultured Lachnospiraceae bacterium. RNAcentral's name for it is "partial 16S ribosomal RNA". It matches the Rfam family "Bacterial small subunit ribosomal RNA", at positions 341 to 778 of the family's 1533-position model. The record is from RNAcentral. Lineage: Bacteria; Bacillati; Bacillota; Clostridia; Lachnospirales; Lachnospiraceae.
ACGGGAGGCAGCAGUGGGGAAUAUUGCACAAUGGGGGAAACCCUGAUGCAGCGACGCCGCGUGAGUGAAGAAGUAUUUCGGUAUGUAAAGCUCUAUCAGCAGGGAAGACAAUGACGGUACCUGACUAAGAAGCUCCGGCUAAAUACGUGCCAGCAGCCGCGGUAAUACGUAUGGAGUAAGCGUUAUCCGGAUUUACUGGGUGUAAAGGGUGUGUAGGCGGCAUGGCAAGUCAGAAGUGAAAGACCGGGGCUCAACCCCGGGGCUGCUUUUGAAACUGUCGUGCUCGAGUCCAGGAGGGGCAAGCGGAAUUCCUAGUGUAGCGGUGAAAUGCGUAGAUAUUAGGUAGAACACCAGUGACGAGGGCGGCUUGCUGGACUGGGACUGACGCUGAGGCACGAAAGCGUGGGGCGCAAACAGGAU